AUUGAACGCUGGCGGCAGGCUUAACACAUGCAAGUCGAACGAUGAAGAUAUAGCUUGCUAUAUCGGAUUAGUGGCGGACGGGUGAGUAACACUUAGGAAUCUACCUUUUAGCGGGGGAUAGCUCGGGGAAACUCGAAUUAAUACCGCAUAAUUUCUACGGAAUAAAGAGGGCUUUUAGCUCUCACUAGAAGAUGAGCCUAAGUAAGAUUAGCUAGUUGGUGGGGUAAAAGCCUACCAAGGCGACGAUCUUUAGCUGGUCUGAGAGGAUGAUCAGCCACACUGGGACUGAGACACGGCCCAGACUCCUACGGGAGGCAGCAGUGGGGAAUAUUGGACAAUGGGGGCAACCCUGAUCCAGCCAUGCCGCGUGUGUGAAGAAGGCCUUUUGGUUGUAAAGCACUUUAAGCAGUGAAGAAGACCUAUUGGUUAAUACCCAAUAGUGAUGACAUUAACUGCAGAAUAAGCACCGGCUAACUCUGUGCCAGCAGCCGCGGUAAUACAGAGGGUGCAAGCGUUAAUCGGAAUUACUGGGCGUAAAGCGAGCGUAGGUGGUUAAAUAAGUCAGAUGUGAAAGCCCUGGGCUCAACCUAGGAACGGCAUCUGAAACUAUUUAACUAGAGUAGGUGAGAGGGAAGUAGAAUUUCAGGUGUAGCGGUGAAAUGCGUAGAGAUCUGAAGGAAUACCGAUGGCGAAGGCAGCUUCCUGGCAUCAUAUUGACACUGAGGCUCGAAAGCGUGGGUAGCAAACAGG
This 750-nucleotide ribosomal RNA is filed under the name uncultured bacterium. RNAcentral's name for it is "bacterial SSU rRNA". It matches the Rfam family "Bacterial small subunit ribosomal RNA", at positions 28 to 776 of the family's 1533-position model. The record is from RNAcentral.